UUGACUUUUGCAACGGUUUUACUUUCCCCCCAUAAUUUCCCUCUUCUAAUUUCACUAAACCCAAUUUUACUAGCACCUAGACAUUUUUUUACUUCCUAAAACUUGUUCUCUUAACCUUAGAACAUAUCAAAAUGUCCAUAUACCUUCUCGUAGCUUCGUCCCCUUGAAACCCUAACCCCUCCAGCGAGUCACUCCUGCAAGGCACUCUGUCAAGGCUCUAGUAUAUCUCUUCAACCUCACAGAGUCUAGGGAAAGUAAUAUUUUGGGAGCGGCAAAGAGUCAAGGUCUGGUUCUUUCAGGUUUCCCAUCUUGAAGGGUGUGCUGAAUGGUGCAAGAGUCACUUUCCUCUGAGAUCCAUGUAUCUGCUACUAGCUGAAGUGAGACCAUCAAAGUUCUCUGUGCUUGGAGGCUACGAGAGAAGAAGAAAGUGAUGAAAAAGAGAAUGAAAUGACUAAUGAAUACUAUGAAGAUGGAUCUUCAGAUGCAGACAUAGGUGAUGGUGAAGGCUAGUAUUCCCCGAGAGGCAAUUUAUUUCCGAAAAUAAUACAGAGAGGAAAAGCUCUUGAGGUAUCAUGACCCUUUUUUUACUCUCUUUCUUGAGUUGUUAUAUUGGUGUUGAUUGGACUACAUGGAUGUAUGGAAAUAACCAUCUGAAAUGCAAGGUUAUUUCCAUAAAUUAAGUGAAAUACUUGCAAAAUGGUAGAUCUCAUGUCAAAAUGGAGUUUUUACUUUAAGAUAUCUCUGUGGCAUAUAAUAUAUCAAUAAUAAAAAUUGGAAAUUCUUUUAGAUUCACUGUAUAAUCAUUGUCACUAGGAACUUAGGAAGGUAGUUUUACUUCUACUUAUAAUGUUUAUCUACAGGGUGCAUUUAUAUUAAAGUUCAUACAAUUUGAGUUCCUAUAUCAACCUAGAAAGCAANAAAAAAAAAAAAAAAAAAAAAAAAAAAAAAAAAAAAAAAAAAAAAAAAAGUCAAAUACAAUAUGAUUAGUCACGGACAUAUUGACAUGGUAAACUUUGAGAAAUGAUACAACAAAGGAAUGACACAUAUCAAUUUCGUAGCAUAGAGAAUCAUAAAUAUAUCAUACAUUGAAAUGUUGAAAUAGAAAUGUGGAACAUAUAAUAUAAAGAAAUGUGAUGAUAGCGAAAUAGUCAAGGCACGCACAAAGCCUAGAUGCCACUACUAGGAAAAAAGAAAAAAAAUGUUGAGACAGAAAAGAUAGGAUAAUCUCAUGCAUAAAAAUUAAUAGGAAGUAUCUUUUUUGGUAGUAAUAAAUUUUUUGAUCUAUUCAAACAAGACAAUUAUCUUCUCCAUCCACCAAAGCAAUCAUGUUCAGUUCCUGCAACAAUGCUUCCAAUGCAUCAAUCUCCCAAUGCCUCUUAAACAUUAGCUACCAAAUACUUUCACUGUUAAGCUUUCAACUGACUUGCCUCUAAAUCUUCGUGACAUUAAUUAAGAUAAAUAUUUUAUGAAAUUGGAUCUACUUUACUAAAGAGCAUUCUUCGAGACAUGUUUCAAGUGACAAUAAGUUGUUUUUUUGAUUGUGCCAAUAACUGUGUAGUUGGACUUGUUUUUUCUUUUUCCAGAUACAUUUUUAAUGUGUGAAUGAAAGUUGUGCGGUUUAGUUAAUUAUAUAGAAGUCCUUUAUAUAUGGUAAUCACUUAUCCUCUUGUAAAUUGAAGCGAUGUCGUUUCUAUUCUUGUUGUUCCUAUGGUAGCAAAGUAAUAAAUAAUGGUCCUUGAAGUGCCUGCAAAACUGAUUAUUGUCCCAACUGAAAGUUGAGUUCCCAUGGUAAAACUAUAAUGAGUCUUUAGAUAUUGUAUCAUUGCGUAUGUUUAAUUUUAGGUACAGAAAUAUCUGCAUCAAGUCUUUGAUUCCAUAUAGAAAAUAAAGCUUGCAGUGAUAACAUGGCCAACUCAAUUUACAUGCAGCUUUUAAUUUGAAGGAGGCUAAUUAGUUUUAAACUAUUUUUCUCUUGUAGGAAUGUCAAAGCUUCAGCCCAAAACUUGCAUAUAAUCCCUAUAAUGAGCCCAACAUUGAAGUUUUCAUGUUGUAAAAGUAUAUUUAUCCAUUUUGAUGAAACUAUUAUUUUUUGUCAGGUUAAUAUAUUUUUAAAUGUUGUCUUAUUCCAACACUUAGUUCAUCUCUAGGACUGCUUUGAAUUUGCAGUUCUGGAGUGCUUUGAAUUUGCAGUUGCGAAGUUUUAUUGACUUCCUUGAUCUGAAUUGCAUUGUUAAACAUUACAACACCAUUUUGAUUGCAGUCAAUAAUCUUCUUUAACUGGCCAUAUGUAGGGCCUUUAAUU
Nicotiana tabacum (common tobacco) is the source of this 2302-nucleotide non-coding RNA. The record is from RefSeq and is a predicted model, not a curated record. NCBI's taxonomy places the organism in Eukaryota, Viridiplantae, Streptophyta, Magnoliopsida, Solanales, Solanaceae.